ACUCAAAGGAAUAGACGGGGGCCCGCACAAGCGGUGGAGCAUGUGGUUUAAUUCGAUGCAACGCGAAGAACCUUACCUACUCUUGACAUCCCGCGGACCCUGGUGAGAGCUAGGGGUGCCGAAAGGAACGCGGAGACAGGUGCUGCAUGGCUGUCGUCAGCUCGUGUUGUGAGAUGUUGGGUUAAGUCCCGUAACGAGCGCAACCCUUGUCCUUAGUUGCCAGCAUUUAGUUGGGGACUCUAAGGAGACUGCCGGUGAUGAACCGGAGGAAGGCGGGGACGACGUCAAGUCAUCAUGGCCUUUAUGAGUAGGGCUACACACGUGCUACAAUGGGGCGUACAGAGGGCAGCCAACCCGCGAGGGGGAGCCAAUCUCUUAAAGCGUCUCGUAGUCCGGAUUGGAGUCUGCAACUCGACUCCAUGAAGUUGGAAUCGCUAGUAAUCGCGAAUCAGCAACGUCGCGGUGAAUACGUUCCCGGGCCUUGUACACACCGCCCGU
This 498-nucleotide ribosomal RNA is filed under the name uncultured bacterium. RNAcentral describes it as "partial 16S ribosomal RNA". It matches the Rfam family "Bacterial small subunit ribosomal RNA", at positions 899 to 1397 of the family's 1533-position model. The record is from RNAcentral.